UCUGCUCAAUGUUUAUUAAUAAAUAGCUGCAUCAUAUGUACUAAGGUAGCGUAAUAAUUUGCCUUUUAAUUGAAGGAUAGAAUGAAAGAACCCACAAAAAAAAUGCUGUCUCUAUUAUUAAAUAUAUAAAUUAAUCUAUAAGUGAAAAAGCUUAUAUAAAAUAAAUAGACAAGAAGACCCUGUUGAGCUUUUUCUAAUAAUUAAUAAUUAGAUUUUGUUGGGGCAACAUUUAUUACAAAAAUCAAUUUUUUUAUUAUAGAAUAUAUUCAUCAAAUUUAUCUUAUUAUAUAAAAUUUUAAUAAGUUACCACAGGGAUAACAGGCUAAUUUUUUUAUAGAGUUCAAAUUAACAAAAAAGAUUGGCACCUCGAUGUUGGCUUAAAGUUUCAUUUAAAAGCAAUAAUUUAAAUUGUUGGUUUG
RNAcentral lists this ribosomal RNA (419 nucleotides) under Myzostoma polycyclus. RNAcentral's name for it is "partial 16S ribosomal RNA". Lineage: Eukaryota; Metazoa; Annelida; Myzostomida; Myzostomatidae. RNAcentral also lists the same sequence under 1 other name. The record is from RNAcentral.